AUUGAACGCUGGCGGCAUGCCUUACACAUGCAAGUCGAACGGCAGCACGGGGGCAACCCUGGUGGCGAGUGGCGAACGGGUGAGUAAUGCAUCGGAACGUGCCCAGUAGUGGGGGAUAGCUCGGCGAAAGCCGGAUUAAUACCGCAUACGACCUACGGGUGAAAGCGGGGGACCGCAAGGCCUCGCGCUGUUGGAGCGGCCGAUGCCAGAUUAGGUUGUUGGUGGGGUAAAAGCCUACCAAGCCGACGAUCUGUAGCUGGUCUGAGAGGACGACCAGCCACACUGGGACUGAGACACGGCCCAGACUCCUACGGGAGGCAGCAGUGGGGAAUUUUGGACAAUGGGGGCAACCCUGAUCCAGCCAUGCCGCGUGCGGGAAGAAGGCCUUCGGGUUGUAAACCGCUUUUGUCGGGGAAGAAAUCUUCCAGGUUAAUACCUUGGGAGCAUGACGGUACCCGAAGAAUAAGCACCGGCUAACUACGUGC
RNAcentral lists this ribosomal RNA (485 nucleotides) under uncultured bacterium. RNAcentral's name for it is "bacterial SSU rRNA". It matches the Rfam family "Bacterial small subunit ribosomal RNA", at positions 29 to 508 of the family's 1533-position model. The record is from RNAcentral.